RNAcentral lists this ribosomal RNA (497 nucleotides) under uncultured bacterium. RNAcentral's name for it is "partial 16S ribosomal RNA". It matches the Rfam family "Bacterial small subunit ribosomal RNA", at positions 28 to 507 of the family's 1533-position model. The record is from RNAcentral.
GAUGAACGCUGGCGGCGUGCCUAAUACAUGCAAGUCGAGCGAACAGAUAAGGAGCUUGCUCCUUUGACGUUAGCGGCGGACGGGUGAGUAACACGUGGGUAACCUACCUAUAAGACUGGAAUAACUCCGGGAAACCGGGGCUAAUGCCGGAUAACAUUUAGAACCGCAUGGUUCUAAAGUGAAAGAUGGUUUUGCUAUCACUUAUAGAUGGACCCGCGCCGUAUUAGCUAGUUGGUAAGGUAACGGCUUACCAAGGCAACGAUACGUAGCCGACCUGAGAGGGUGGUCGGCCACACUGGAACUGAGACUCAGUCCAGACUCCUACGGGAGGCAGCAGUAGGGAAUCUUCCGCAAUGGGCGAAUGCCUGACGGAGCAACGCCGCGGGAGUGAUGAAGAUCUUCGGAUCGUAAAACUCUGUUAUUAGUGAAGAACAAAUGUGUAAGUAACUGUGAACGUCUUGACGGUACCUAAUCAGAAAGCCACGGCUAACUACGUG